UGGGGUUAGCUAAUAUCAAUGAUCAUGUUGUUUAUAAGAUUAUGAUAAAACAGCAUGUUUUUAAAUAUAGGUUUCAUUAUUAUUCAUGUAUGAUCAGGAGGUGAUUGCCAUUGAAAAGUUACUUGUUACUCAUAGAUCCCAUGAGAAGUGAGGCAUAUCACACCAUAAGGGAAACACCAGUGUCAGUCAAGAGACAGGAAAGUGGGGGGAAAAAACAUGGAUAAGAGCCUUUCUUGUGGUUUCUGCAGGAAGACAAGGGAAUAAAGCAGUGGACGCAACUCACAACAUCAAAAAUGCAUUUGGCCCAGGAACUGCUAACAAAUGUACAAUGCAGUGAUGGUUCGAGAAGCUGUACAGAGGACAUGAGAGCCUUGAAGAUGAGGAGUACAGAGUGGACAGCCAUAGGAAGUUGACCAUGACUAAUUGAGAGCCAUCAUCAAACUGAUCCUCUUAGAACUACAUGAGAAGUUGCCUAAGAACUCAGUGUCGACCAUUCUGCAGUCAUUCAGCGUUUGAAGUAAAUUGGAAAGGUGAAAAAGCUCAAUAAGUGGGUGCCUCAUGAGCUGACUGAAAAUCAAAAAAAUCAAGUGUUGCCUUCUCUUAUUUUGUGCAACAACAGCAAACCAUUUCUAGAUCAGAUUGUGAUGUGCAAUAAAAAGUAGAUUUUAUAUGACAACCAGCAAUGACAACCAACUCAGUGGUUGUACUGAGAAGAAGCUCCAAAGCACUUCCCAAAGCCAAACUUGCACCAUAAAAAGGUCAUGGUCACUGUUUAGUGGUCUGCUGCCCGUCUGAUCCACUACAGCUUUCUGAUUCCCAGCAAAACCAUUACAUCUCAGAAGUAUGUUCAGCAAAUAGAGGAGACGCAGUGAAAAAUGCAACACCUGCAGCCUGCUUUGGCCAACAGAAAGGGCCCAAUUCUUCUCCAAGACAAUGCCCGACCACACAUCACACAACCGCUGCUUCAAAAGUUCAACAAAUUGGGCUAUGAAGUUUUGCCUCAUCUACCAUGUUCACCUGACCUCUCACCAACUGACUACCACUUCUUCAAGCAUCUUGACACCUUCUUGCAGAGAAAAUGCGUCCACAACCAGCAGGAGGCAGAAGAUGCUUUCCACGAGUUUGUCACAUCCUGAAGGAUGGAUUUUUAUGCUACAGGAAUAAACAAACUUAUUUUUCUUUGGCAAAAAUGUGUUGAUGGUAAUGAUUCCUAUUUUAAUUAAUAAAGAUGUGUUUGAGCCUAAUUAUAAUUUAAAAUUCACAGUUCAAAACCACAAUUACUUUCUCAUCAACCUAAUAAAUGUGUUCAGCAAAUUU
This is a long non-coding RNA of Bubalus bubalis (water buffalo), 1317 nucleotides long. RefSeq lists it as uncharacterized. NCBI's taxonomy places the organism in Eukaryota, Metazoa, Chordata, Mammalia, Artiodactyla, Bovidae. The transcript has 2 exons. The record is from RefSeq and is a predicted model, not a curated record.